AGAGUUUGAUCAUGGCUCAGAUUGAACGCUGGCGGUAUGCUUAACACAUGCAAGUCGAACGGUAACAGUCCCUCACCUAGAAAUUUCUUAAAAAGAGAUUUGUAGGUGAGGGAGCUGACGAGUGGCGGACGGGUGCGUAAUGUAUAGGAAUCUCCCUAGUAGUGGGGGACAACUCGGAGAAAUUCGAGCUAAUACCGCAUAAGCCCUCCGGGGGAAAACGGGGGAUCUUCGGACCUCGUGCUAUUAGAUGAGCCUAUAUUAGAUUAGCUUGUUGGUGAGGUAAUGGCUCACCAAGGCGACGAUCUAUAGCUGGUCUGAGAGGAUGAUCAGCCACACUGGGACUGAGACACGGCCCAGACUCCUACGGGAGGCAGCAGUGGGGAAUAUUGGACAAUGGGCGAAAGCCUGAUCCAGCAAUACCGCGUGUGUGAAGAAGGCCUGAGGGUUGUAAAGCACUUUCAAUUGGGAGGAAUACCUAAUAGUUAAUACGCUAUUAGAUUGAC
RNAcentral lists this ribosomal RNA (503 nucleotides) under uncultured bacterium. RNAcentral describes it as "bacterial SSU rRNA". It matches the Rfam family "Bacterial small subunit ribosomal RNA", at positions 8 to 473 of the family's 1533-position model. The record is from RNAcentral.